UGAAUCUAAGCACUGUUUUGUUAGGCCA
Molecule: non-coding RNA, 28 nt
Filed under: Bombyx mori (domestic silkworm)
Lineage: Eukaryota; Metazoa; Arthropoda; Insecta; Lepidoptera; Bombycidae
Source: RNAcentral